This 73-nucleotide transfer RNA is filed under the name Lepisosteus oculatus (spotted gar). It matches the Rfam family "tRNA". From Rfam's summary of the family: Transfer RNA (tRNA) molecules are approximately 80 nucleotides in length. Their secondary structure includes four short double-helical elements and three loops (D, anti-codon, and T loops). Lineage: Eukaryota; Metazoa; Chordata; Actinopteri; Semionotiformes; Lepisosteidae. The record is from Rfam by way of RNAcentral.
GCUCAGCUGGCUCAGUCAGUAGAGCAUGAGACUCUUAAUCUCAGGAUUGUGGGUUUGAGCCCCACGUUGGGCG